This 376-nucleotide unclassified non-coding RNA is filed under the name Hevea brasiliensis (rubber tree). Lineage: Eukaryota; Viridiplantae; Streptophyta; Magnoliopsida; Malpighiales; Euphorbiaceae. The record is from RNAcentral.
GAGCAAUGUCAUAUUUGUCAUGUAAGUCCAAGGAAUUCUGCAAAGGAUGCUGUCCUCUAAAAUAAAUUAGUUGAGCAAUAAACCAAAUUUGGCAUUAAUAUGAGCUGAUGUUUUGUGACUUACAUUCUCAUUGUAAUGAGGUUAAUUUGGAAAAUGUGGGACAAAAAAUGCACUCCUGCUCUUGAUAGACAAUUUUUUGAGGAAGAUGAGAAUAAAAUGAGAUACUUUAUGCAGGGUGGAAAAUAUAUUUUUAUUGUGUACGGCUUUCACAACACAUCCUUAAACAUGUAGCCUUUGUUGGUUUCGUUUGGAAUUUGUGUUGAUCUUAUUUAUAUCUAGUUGAGGAAUAUGAAUCUUCUUUGUUAUUGACCCUUUU